Molecule: long non-coding RNA, 1422 nt
Organism: Homo sapiens (human)
Lineage: Eukaryota; Metazoa; Chordata; Mammalia; Primates; Hominidae
Gene: SOX5-AS1
Product: SOX5 antisense RNA 1
Source: Ensembl
AUUCUAUCUGCACUUAAGAAUAGAAAAGCAGCAUUCUGAACAGCAAUGCUCAUCACAUAAACAUGAAGUUUCCUCCAAAAGGAAUGAUGACUAAUGCUUUGAGGAAACAGCAGACGUCAGACAGCAAGCCCAGAAAAACCUGCCAGCACCAAGAGGGUGUCCUCAACAGGCGCCUGGGGGACAUAUUAUUCUAACUAAAGAGACCAGAGCUUCCCCAGGAAGGGAAGAGGAGAGAAAUGAAGAACGUCUGUGUUCAUGUUUGCCAAAAACAAAAGUCUGAGAAAUCUCUGAGAGACUCUACAUGGGAGGGCACUAAUCGAAGCACCUCAUUUAAAGUGAGAAAAGCUUUGCUAAGGGCAGAUGAUUCAGCACGGUAUCCUUCGAUGAGUACUGUCAUCUCAAAUCCUUUUUAAGAAGAAAAGUGCAACCCACUGGAGAAAGAGAGGGACUCCGAGGAAGGAGAGAGAGAAGAGGUUGGAAUGAAAGAAAAUGGACAAUCUGUCAGGCUGAACUUUUACACUUAAGAUCAGGGUUCAAACUAGAAGAUGAUAAAAACAAAGGAAAACAAAGCCGACACCGUCCCAGGAGUAACAUACCCUCUUAGAUCACUGUAAAAUGCAAGAAUCAUGCCCUGACACAAAGCUCAAAUUUUGCAAUUUUCAGAGGUUUCCUGGUAACUUUCAUAUAAAUGUACAUAAAUAUCAUGUCAAAGCAAAAGCACACAGUCAUGAUAUUGACUUCUUAUUCUUCCCUGCUUCUUGACAAGAUAAAUCUAAAAAGUGGCACUGAAAAUUGAGAGAACAGCUGAAUAACAAAACCUGACUAGUAAAGUACUUGGUCCUCAUUUUGCAUUCCCCGUUUUUGAAGAAUUCAAAUCAGGAAAUUUCCGUUAUCUAAAUCACAGGUUUCAAUAGGAUUAAGAGAAGAAAUAAGAGAAGCAACAAGGUGCACAGAAAGCCAGCUCUGACCUUUGUUAUUUCAUAUUGAAGCUCUUACUUUGAGAUGGACCAGUAGAUGAAGAGAGCCAUUAUUCAGAGGAGCUGCUCUUGCUCUUCAAAUUUCAGUUAAUAUGACCACAUUAGAAUUAUUUUAUUUUUAAACUUCAGUAACAAGGCUCUCUUUCCUGUUUUCAACACACAUGUUUAGAAUAAUCAGUGGAAACUCUGCAAAUGGAUGAAACAAGCAAAUCCCCCAGGACUGUUUUGUGACUGAUUUUCUUACUUCUCACCUAUCUAAUAUGAACGGUUUAGAUUUUGCUAAGCUCAAUCAUAAACUCAACUCUAGGGGGAAGAAAGUCUCAAGCAUAUGGUUCAACCAACUGAAAAUGCUAUACAAUCAAAAGGAAGUAUAGGCUAGAGGUUUACCAUUGGCUGCUUGUACAUUCUAACCAGUAUUAAAGAUUAACUCCACAACAAAGUGAAA